CGCUCUGGUGGCCUAGUGGUUAAAGCGUCCGCCUCGUAUGCGGGAGGUCGCGGGUUCGAACCACGGUCGAGUCA
Potamilus streckersoni is the source of this 74-nucleotide non-coding RNA. NCBI's taxonomy places the organism in Eukaryota, Metazoa, Mollusca, Bivalvia, Unionida, Unionidae. The record is from the annotation of a GenBank genome assembly.